CCUACGGGUGACAGCAGUGAGGAAUAUUGGUCAAUGGACGAGAGUCUGAACCAGCCAAGUAGCGUGAAGGAUGACUGCCCUAUGGGUUGUAAACUUCUUUUAUAAAGGAAUAAAACGAGGCACGUGUGCCUUUUUGCAUGUACUUUAUGAAUAAGGAUCGGCUAACUCCGUGCCAGCAGCCGCGGUAAUACGGAGGAUCCGAGCGUUAUCCGGAUUUAUUGGGUUUAAAGGGAGCGUAGAUGGGUUGUUAAGUCAGUUGUGAAAGUUUGCGGCUCAACCGUAAAAUUGCAAUUGAUACUGGCAGUCUUGAGUACAGUUGAGGUAGGCGGAAUUCGUGGUGUAGCGGUGAAAUGCUUAGAUAUCACGAAGAACCCCGAUUGCGAAGGCAGCUUACCAAACUGUGACUGACAUUGAUGCUCGAAAGCGUGGGUAUCAAACAGGAUUAGAUACCCUUGUAGUC
RNAcentral lists this ribosomal RNA (460 nucleotides) under uncultured bacterium. Its description in RNAcentral is "partial 16S ribosomal RNA". It matches the Rfam family "Bacterial small subunit ribosomal RNA", at positions 338 to 795 of the family's 1533-position model. The record is from RNAcentral.